UACGUAGGAGACGAGCGUUGUCCGGAAUUACUGGGCGUAAAGCGCGUGUAGGCGGAUGAGCAAGUCUGCUGUGAAAGCUCCUGGCUUAACCGGGAGUGGUCGGUGGAAACUGCUCGUCUGGAGGACGGUAGAGGUAGGUAGAAUUCCCGGUGUAGUGGUGAAAUGCGUAGAGAUCGGGAAGAACAUCAGUGGCGAAGGCGGCCUGCUGGGGCUGUUGCUGACGCUGAGGCGCGACAGCGUGGGGGAGCAAACAGG
Molecule: ribosomal RNA, 255 nt
Filed under: uncultured bacterium
Lineage: Bacteria
Description: partial 16S ribosomal RNA
Rfam family: Bacterial small subunit ribosomal RNA
Source: RNAcentral